This 526-nucleotide long non-coding RNA is filed under the name Mytilus galloprovincialis (Mediterranean mussel). The record is from RNAcentral. Lineage: Eukaryota; Metazoa; Mollusca; Bivalvia; Mytilida; Mytilidae.
AUUUUUAUGAUUUAAUCUUUUUCACCCAUAAAACGUAAAUAUAAGGAAUAAUUUUGAAUGGUGACAAAUAAGGGGAAGUAACUCUAGUUCAGUUUGUAAACCAAAUUAUGGUGCAAUUUAUUUACGACCUAAAGCUAAGGUAAUUGGUGUUAAUUAACAGUGUGUUUGACACCAAAGCUGUCAAGUGAAGCCAUGCACUUAAUGGGUCACUUAAUUUGACAGUUUACAUAGCUAGAUGAACUUCCUGUUCAUGGAAGAAUUACGAAUUUGCCGGUAUUUCAAAGGAAUAUUACUUAUGAAAUCAAUCUCAAGGCUAAGAAAUACGGGUGAAAUCGGGUCAUUUUCGGAAUUUCCGGGUUAUUUCAAUGACCCGGCGGGUGUUCCGGGUGAUCCCUCAGAAUUGUGAAAAUCUCGGGUCACACCCGCAGAAUACGGGUCAGUUGACAGGUAUGUUUGACCUUAAAAAAAAGCAUGUUUAAGGGAAUAUAUAAAAGUAAUUUCAUUGUUUCAGUAAAUUUGUUAAAUC